UUAAGCGACUAAGCGUACACGGUGGAUGCCCUGGCAGUCAGAGGCGAUGAAGGACGUGCUAAUCUGCGAUAAGCGUCGGUGAGGUGAUAUGAACCGUUAUAACCGGCGAUUUCCGAAUGGGGAAACCCAGUGUGUUUCGACACACUAUCAUUAACUGAAUCCAUAGGUUAAUGAGGCGAACCGGGGGAACUGAAACAUCUAAGUACCCCGAGGAAAAGAAAUCAACCGAGAUUCCCCCAGUAGCGGCGAGCGAACGGGGAGGAGCCCAGAGCCUGAAUCAGUGUGUGUGUUAGUGGAAGCGUCUGGAAAGGCGUGCGAUACAGGGUGACAGCCCCGUACACAAAAAUGCACAUAUUGUGAGCUCGAUGAGUAGGGCGGGACACGUGGUAUCCUGUCUGAAUAUGGGGGGACCAUCCUCCAAGGCUAAAUACUCCUGACUGACCGAUAGUGAACCAGUACCGUGAGGGAAAGGCGAAAAGAACCCCGGCGAGGGGAGUGAAAAAGAACCUGAAACCGUGUACGUACAAGCAGUGGGAGCCUCUUAAUGGGGUGACUGCGUACCUUUUGUAUAAUGGGUCAGCGACUUAUAUUCUGUAGCAAGGUUAACCGAAUAGGGGAGCCGAAGGGAAACCGAGUCUUAACUGGGCGUUAAGUUGCAGGGUAUAGACCCGAAACCCGGUGAUCUAGCCAUGGGCAGGUUGAAGGUUGGGUAACACUAACUGGAGGACCGAACCGACUAAUGUUGAAAAAUUAGCGGAUGACUUGUGGCUGGGGGUGAAAGGCCAAUCAAACCGGGAGAUAGCUGGUUCUCCCCGAAAGCUAUUUAGGUAGCGCCUCGUGAAUUCAUCUCCGGGGGUAGAGCACUGUUUCGGCAAGGGGGUCAUCCCGACUUACCAACCCGAUGCAAACUGCGAAUACCGGAGAAUGUUAUCACGGGAGACACACGGCGGGUGCUAACGUCCGUCGUGAAGAGGGAAACAACCCAGACCGCCAGCUAAGGUCCCAAAGUNNCAUGGUUAAGUGGGAAACGAUGUGGGAAGGCCCAGACAGCCAGGAUGUUGGCUUAGAAGCAGCCAUCAUUUAAAGAAAGCGUAAUAGCUCACUGGUCGAGUCGGCCUGCGCGGAAGAUGUAACGGGGCUAAACCAUGCACCGAAGCUGCGGCAGCGACACUAUGUGUUGUUGGGUAGGGGAGCGUUCUGUAAGCCUGUGAAGGUGGCCUGUGAGGGUUGCUGGAGGUAUCAGAAGUGCGAAUGCUGACAUAAGUAACGAUAAAGCGGGUGAAAAGCCCGCUCGCCGGAAGACCAAGGGUUCCUGUCCAACGUUAAUCGGGGCAGGGUGAGUCGACCCCUAAGGCGAGGCCGAAAGGCGUAGUCGAUGGGAAACAGGUUAAUAUUCCUGUACUUGGUGUUACUGCGAAGGGGGGACGGAGAAGGCUAUGUUGGCCGGGCGACGGUUGUCCCGGUUUAAGCGUGUAGGCUGGUUUUCCAGGCAAAUCCNNGGAAAACCAAGGCUGAGGCGUGAUGACGAGGCACUACGGUGCUGAAGCAACAAAUGCCCUGCUUCCAGGAAAAGCCUCUNNAAGCAUCAGGUAACAUCAAAUCGUACCCCAAACCGACACAGGUGGUCAGGUAGAGAAUACCAAGGCGCUUGAGAGAACUCGGGUGAAGGAACUAGGCAAAAUGGUGCCGUAACUUCGGGAGAAGGCACGNCUGAUAUGUAGGUGAAGCGACUUGCUCGUGGAGCUGAAAUCAGUCGAAGAUACCAGCUGGCUGCAACUGUUUAUUAAAAACACAGCACUGUGCAAACACGAANNAGUGGACGUAUACGGUGUGACGCCUGCCCGGUGCCGGAAGGUUAAUUGAUGGGGUUAGCGGNNUAACGCGAAGCUCUUGAUCGAAGCCCCGGUAAACGGCGGCCGUAACUAUAACGGUCCUAAGGUAGCGAAAUUCCUUGUCGGGUAAGUUCCGACCUGCACGAAUGGCGUAAUGAUGGCCAGGCUGUCUCCACCCGAGACUCAGUGAAAUUGAACUCGCUGUGAAGAUGCAGUGUACCCGCGGCAAGACGGAAAGACCCCGUGAACCUUUACUAUAGCUUGACACUGAACAUUGAGCCUUGAUGUGUAGGAUAGGUGGGAGGCUUUGAAGUGUGGACGCCAGUCUGCAUGGAGCCGACCUUGAAAUACCACCCUUUAAUGUUUGAUGUUCUAACGUUGGCCCGUAAUCCGGGUUGCGGACAGUGUCUGGUGGGUAGUUUGACUGGGGCGGUCUCCUCCUAAAGAGUAACGGAGGAGCACGAAGGUUGGCUAAUCCUGGUCGGACAUCAGGAGGUUAGUGCAAUGGCAUAAGCCAGCUUGACUGCGAGCGUGACGGCGCGAGCAGGUGCGAAAGCAGGUCAUAGUGAUCCGGUGGUUCUGAAUGGAAGGGCCAUCGCUCAACGGAUAAAAGGUACUCCGGGGAUAACAGGCUGAUACCGCCCAAGAGUUCAUAUCGACGGCGGUGUUUGGCACCUCGAUGUCGGCUCAUCACAUCCUGGGGCUGAAGUAGGUCCCAAGGGUAUGGCUGUUCGCCAUUUAAAGUGGUACGCGAGCUGGGUUUAGAACGUCGUGAGACAGUUCGGUCCCUAUCUGCCGUGGGCGCUGGAGAACUGAGGGGGGCUGCUCCUAGUACGAGAGGACCGGAGUGGACGCAUCACUGGUGUUCGGGUUGUCAUGCCAAUGGCACUGCCCGGUAGCUAAAUGCGGAAGAGAUAAGUGCUGAAAGCAUCUAAGCACGAAACUUGCCCCGAGAUGAGUUCUCCCUGAGACUUAGAGUCUCCUGAAGGAACGUUGAAGACGACGACGUUGAUAGGCCGGGUGUGUAAGCGCAGCGAUGCGUUGAGCUAACCGGUACUAAUGAACCGUGAGGCUUAACCU
RNAcentral lists this ribosomal RNA (2912 nucleotides) under Escherichia coli. RNAcentral's name for it is "23S ribosomal RNA". It matches the Rfam family "Bacterial large subunit ribosomal RNA". Lineage: Bacteria; Pseudomonadati; Pseudomonadota; Gammaproteobacteria; Enterobacterales; Enterobacteriaceae. The record is from RNAcentral.